Molecule: long non-coding RNA, 666 nt
Filed under: Rattus norvegicus (Norway rat)
Lineage: Eukaryota; Metazoa; Chordata; Mammalia; Rodentia; Muridae
Description: long non-coding RNA NONRATT011796
Source: RNAcentral
CACCCCAACCCUGUACUUUCUCCGUCCCGGCCUGUGCCUCCUGCAGGAGAUGUAAAGAUGUUCUCAGGAGAUGAGCUGAGGAGACCAAGUCAGACAUUAGUGAGUGGUUCCUGUGUCCUGCACUCAAAUAGGAGGAUGGGAGGAAUCAGAUGCAAUCGACCACCCUCCUUCAGUUCACGGGGUGCCACCCACACUGGGAACGGGAGGUUCAUGCAUAGCUCGUCAUGUCUUUAAGAAACAAAACAAAACAGGAUUUGAAGCAAUAUUCUGAGUCAGGAUUUGAAUUCAGGAUUUUGUAUCUAAUUAUCUUCCUAACGAGUGAAGCCACACCUGAAUUUCGUGGUGGAAAUGCCCCCAGACACUCCCGCCUUUCCAUGCCAUUGGAUUUGGCUACACUUGUCAGAACAGAACUCUUCGUCAGAAGUUCAAGUCACUUGCCCCACAAAUAUGGCUCCUCCAAGUCACUGACGAGAGACCGAAGACACGCUUGGGUGAUGCCACCAAGUCACCUCCAAGGUCCUCUCUGCUAUAUUCUCAUCUGGCUAGAAUAUUAAAAAAAAAAAUUAUCUCAUCUUGAAAGUCUCAAGUCCCCUAGAAAAGAAGUACCUAAUCAAAGAGUCCCAAAGCUCAAUGCUCACCAUGGUUAUUUAAAAAAAAAAAAAAAAA